UAGGGAAUCUUCGGCAAUGGGGGGAACCCUGACCGAGCAACGCCGCGUGAGUGAAGAAGGUUUUCGGAUCGUAAAGCUCUGUUGUUAAGGAAGAACGAGUGUGAGAAUGGAAAGUUCAUGCUGUGACGGUACUUAACCAGAAAGGGACGGCUAACUACGUGCCAGCAGCCUCGGUAAUACGUAGGUCCCGAGCGUUGUCCGGAUUUAUUGGGCGUAAAGCGAGCGCAGGCGGUUAGAAAAGUCUGAAGUGAAAGGCAGUGGCUCAACCAUUGUAGGCUUUGGAAACUGUUUAACUUGAGUGCAGAAGGGGAGAGUGGAAUUCCAUGUGUAGCGGUGAAAUGCGUAGAUAUAUGGAGGAACACCGGUGGCGAAAGCGGCUCUCUGGUCUGUAACUGACGCUGAGGCUCGAAAGCGUGGGGAGCGAACAGG
This 429-nucleotide ribosomal RNA is filed under the name Verrucomicrobiota bacterium. Its description in RNAcentral is "Verrucomicrobia bacterium partial 16S ribosomal RNA". It matches the Rfam family "Bacterial small subunit ribosomal RNA", at positions 355 to 776 of the family's 1533-position model. Lineage: Bacteria; Pseudomonadati; Verrucomicrobiota. The record is from RNAcentral.